UAGGGAAUUUUCGUCAAUGGGCGCAAGCCUGAACGAGCAAUGCCGCGUGAACGAGGAAGGUCUUCGGAUCGUAAAGUUCUGUUUAAGGGGAAAAAGAGCGGAGAGAGGAAAUGGUCUCCGAUUGAUAUUACCCUUCGAGGAAGUCACGGCUAACUACGUGCC
RNAcentral lists this ribosomal RNA (162 nucleotides) under uncultured bacterium. RNAcentral's name for it is "partial 16S ribosomal RNA". It matches the Rfam family "Bacterial small subunit ribosomal RNA", at positions 355 to 509 of the family's 1533-position model. The record is from RNAcentral.